GCGUUGUUCGGAAUUACUGGGCGUAAAGCGUACGUAGGCGGCUUUGUAAGUUAGAGGUGAAAGCCCGGGGCUCAACUCCGGAAUUGCCUUUAAGACUGCAUCGCUUGAAUCAUGGAGAGGUUAGUGGAAUUCCGAGUGUAGAGGUGAAAUUCGUAGAUAUUCGGAAGAACACCAGUGGCGAAGGCGACUAACUGGACAUGUAUUGACGCUGAGGUACGAAAGCGUG
Molecule: ribosomal RNA, 226 nt
Filed under: uncultured bacterium
Lineage: Bacteria
Description: partial 16S ribosomal RNA
Rfam family: Bacterial small subunit ribosomal RNA
Source: RNAcentral